This 63-nucleotide transfer RNA is filed under the name Scolytinae sp. BMNH 1274292. RNAcentral describes it as "tRNA-Cys". Lineage: Eukaryota; Metazoa; Arthropoda; Insecta; Coleoptera; Curculionidae. The record is from RNAcentral.
GACCGUAUAGUCAAAUUUAUGAUAUUAGAUUGCAAAUUUAAAGUUAAGUGUAUUUUAUGGUCU